UAGCCGUAAACGAUACUCGCUAGGUGUCGGCCACGGUGCGACCGUUGUCGGUGCCGUAGGGAAGCCGUGAAGCGAGCCACCUGGGAAGUACGGCCGCAAGGCUGAAACUUAAAGGAAUUGGCGGGGGGAGCACAACAACGGGUGGAGCUUGCGGCUUAAUUGGAUUCAACGCCGGAAAUCUUACCGGGACCGACAGCAACAUGAAGGCCAAGCUGAAGACUUUGCCGGAUUAGCUGAGAGGAGGUGCAUGGCGUAGUCGUG
This 261-nucleotide ribosomal RNA is filed under the name uncultured archaeon. RNAcentral describes it as "partial 16S ribosomal RNA". It matches the Rfam family "Archaeal small subunit ribosomal RNA", at positions 748 to 1013 of the family's 1478-position model. The record is from RNAcentral.